RNAcentral lists this non-coding RNA (21 nucleotides) under Caenorhabditis elegans. Lineage: Eukaryota; Metazoa; Nematoda; Chromadorea; Rhabditida; Rhabditidae. The record is from RNAcentral.
UUCGACAAUGGCUACGUUCAA